RNAcentral lists this ribosomal RNA (253 nucleotides) under uncultured bacterium. RNAcentral's name for it is "partial 16S ribosomal RNA". It matches the Rfam family "Bacterial small subunit ribosomal RNA", at positions 524 to 776 of the family's 1533-position model. The record is from RNAcentral.
UACAGAGGUCUCAAGCGUUGUUCGGAAUCACUGGGCGUAAAGGGUGCGUAGGCCGCACGGUAAGUCAGAGGUGAAAUCCCGGAGCUCAACUUCGGAAUUGCCUCCGAUACUGCCGUGCUUGAGGACUGGAGAGGAGAUUGGAAUUCACAGUGGAGCAGUGAAAUGCGUAGAUAUUGUGAGGAACACUAGUGGCGAAGGCGACUUUCUGGCCUGUUCUUGACGCUGAGGCGCGAAAGCUAGGGGAGCAAACGGG